Long non-coding RNA from Perca fluviatilis (European perch), 680 nucleotides. RefSeq lists it as uncharacterized. NCBI's taxonomy places the organism in Eukaryota, Metazoa, Chordata, Actinopteri, Perciformes, Percidae. The record is from RefSeq and is a predicted model, not a curated record. The transcript is spliced from 2 exons.
UUAUUCACACGGAAUUCCCCUGUUGGGAAAACAAAGGCUUCAACGUUCAGUAAAUCAGCCAGUCGCUCGGCGGAGAAGGCAAGUGGACGGAUGCACGUGCAGUCGGCACCCGUGUUGGAGCCUGCAGUAAUUAAAGACAUCCAUCAGAUUAUGACAGCGGUGUCUGGAAGCAUUACACUGUGGGACCCAUAAUGUGACCAGGGUAACCAUGACGACUGCAAUCAAACACAGAGAUGAUGUCCCAUGUGAAGAUUCCUCUGAUUUCCUGGUGCGUUAUGAUUCACUUACAAACUAUGUGUGCGCUGUACUGAGACACAGAACGUCAAAGGUGUUCAAAUCGUUACAUUGCCUUCACUUUGAUUGUCGUUUAUCGUCCGAGUGCUGCCGAUGCUAACUUUCCCUCUGUUUCACCUGUUACUUUCCAUUGUUUUGUAUUCUGCUGUAAUGUUGAGGAUUCAUAUCAAACAUUGGAACAAGUGCAUAAAGCAUUGCAAAUCAUUACUGUUUGUUAUGGCCACCAUUGAGUUCUAGAUGGGUGAGGUUUGCAAUGUUCUGACAGGAAUGUAGUCACGUGUUUCUAACUGAAGGACAUUGUGUAUGCUGUACUCUGCAUCUUCUAUCUAGAGACACUGUGACUGACACCUACUGCACGUGGGAUAGUAAUAAAACACUGGAAUGUA